GCAGGAUAAAAGAUCCAUACUUCUUUCAUACAAUUGCUUUUAUCAUCAUGUCCUACUCGAUAUCAACCUUAACAAUAGUCGAAUCGAGGUUUAUGACUCACGAAAGAGGCCAUUAUCACUAAUCCAGCCCGUCAUUGAUGUCGUCAACAAGGCCUUCGCUAAGUACCA
Panicum virgatum (switchgrass) is the source of this 168-nucleotide long non-coding RNA. RefSeq lists it as uncharacterized. The transcript is spliced from 3 exons. Lineage: Eukaryota; Viridiplantae; Streptophyta; Magnoliopsida; Poales; Poaceae. The record is from RefSeq and is a predicted model, not a curated record.